UACGAAGGGGGCUAGCGUUGUUCGGAAUUACUGGGCGUAAAGCGAGCGUAGGUUGCUCGACAAGUCAGUGGUGAAAGCCCAGAGCUCAACUCUGGAAUUGCCAUUGAAACUGUCGAGCUGGAAUCUCAGAGGGGAUAGCGGAAUUCCAAAUGUAGAGGUGAAAUUCGUAGAUAUUUGGAGGAACACCGGUGGCGAAGGCGGCUAUCUGGAUGAGUAUUGACACUGAGGCUCGAAAGUGUGGGGAUCAAACAGG
Molecule: ribosomal RNA, 253 nt
Filed under: uncultured bacterium
Lineage: Bacteria
Description: partial 16S ribosomal RNA
Rfam family: Bacterial small subunit ribosomal RNA
Source: RNAcentral